This 380-nucleotide unclassified non-coding RNA is filed under the name soil metagenome. RNAcentral describes it as "partial contains 5.8S ribosomal RNA, internal transcribed spacer 2, and large subunit ribosomal RNA". The stretch from base 1 to 121 matches the Rfam family "5.8S ribosomal RNA", at positions 35 to 154 of the family's 154-position model. The record is from RNAcentral.
GAUGAAGAACCGCAGCGAAAUGCGAUACGUAAUGUGAAUUGCAGAAUUCAGUGAAUCAUCGAAUCUUUGAACGCACAUUGCACUCCUUGGUAUUCCGAGGAGUAUGCCUGUUUCAGUAUCAUGAGCACUCUCACAUCUAACCUUUGGGUUAAAAUGUGGAAUUGGGAUGCGCCGGUUAUUAUAACGGCCCUCCUAAAAUUCAGUUCUUGGCUGCUUCCUACUACAGCAGUUUGGCCUAAUAGUUUUGAGUCUUCGAUUCAAAUCUUUGGCUAACAUUUGCUUCAGGAUGUCAGUCUUGAUAUACAGAAAUCUCAUUCAAACUUUGAUCUGAAAUCAGGUAGGGCUACCCGCUGAACUUAAGCAUAUCAAUAAGCGGAGGA